GACGAACGCUGGCGGCGUGCUUAACACAUGCAAGUCGAACGGAAAGGCCCUGCUUUUGUGGGGUGCUCGAGUGGCGAACGGGUGAGUAACACGUGAGUAACCUGCCCUUGACUUUGGGAUAACUUCAGGAAACUGGGGCUAAUAUCGGAUAGGAGCUCCUGCUGCAUGGUGGGGGUUGGAAAGUUUCGGCGGGUGGGGAUGGACUCGCGGCUUAUCAGCUUGUUGGUUGGGGAGUGGCUUACCAAGGCUUUGACGGGUAGCCGGCCUGAGAGGGUGACCGGCCACAUUGGGACUGAGAUACGGCCCAGACUCCUACGGGAGGCAGCAGUGGGGAAUAUUGCACAAUGGGCGGAAGCCUGAUGCAGAAACGCCGCGUGCGGGAUGACGGCCUUCGGGUUGUAAACCGCUUUCGCCUGUGACGAAGCGUGAGUGACGGUAAUGGGUAAAGAAGCACCGGCUAACUACGUG
RNAcentral lists this ribosomal RNA (468 nucleotides) under uncultured bacterium. RNAcentral describes it as "partial 16S ribosomal RNA". It matches the Rfam family "Bacterial small subunit ribosomal RNA", at positions 28 to 507 of the family's 1533-position model. The record is from RNAcentral.